ACUCCUACGGGAGGCAGCAGUGGGGAAUAUUGCACAAUGGGGGAAACCCUGAUGCAGCCAUGCCGCGUGUGUGAAGAAGGCCUUCGGGUUGUAAAGCACUUUCAGUAGGGAGGAAGGUAGUGUAGUUAACACCUGCAUUAUUUGACGUUACCUACAGAAGAAGCACCGGCUAACUCCGUGCCAGCAGCCGCGGUAAUACGGAGGGUGCGAGCGUUAAAUCGGAAUUACUGGGCGUAAAGCGCAUGCAGGUGGUUUGUUAAGUCAGAUGUGAAAGCCCGGGGCUCAACCUCGGAAUUGCAUUUGAAACUGGCAGACUAGAGUACUGUAGAGGGGGGUAGAAUUUCAGGUGUAGCGGUGAAAUGCGUAGAGAUCUGAAGGAAUACCGGUGGCGAAGGCGGCCCCCUGGACAGAUACUGACACUCAGAUGCGAAAGCGUGGGGAGCAAACAGGAUUAGAUACCCUGGUAGGAUAGCG
This 474-nucleotide ribosomal RNA is filed under the name uncultured bacterium. Its description in RNAcentral is "bacterial SSU rRNA". It matches the Rfam family "Bacterial small subunit ribosomal RNA", at positions 335 to 799 of the family's 1533-position model. The record is from RNAcentral.